CUACGGGGGGCAGCAGUGGGGAAUAUUGCGCAAUGGGGGAAACCCUGACGCAGUGACGCCGUGUGAGUGAUGAAGGUUUUCGGAUCGUAAAGCUCUGUCAGACGGGAAGAAUAAGAACAGUAAAAAUAUUGCUGUUUGAUGACGGUACCGUCAGAGGAAGCACCGGCUAACUCCGUGCCAGCAGCCGCGGUAAUACGGAGGGUGCAAACGUGGUUCGGAAUUACUGGGCGUAAAGCGCAUGUAGGCGGAUAUGUAGGUCAGAUGUGAAAUCCCUUGGCUCAACCAAGGAAGUGCAUCUGAAACCCCAUAUCUCGAGUACGAGAGAGGGAAGUGGAAUUCCCAGUGUAGAGGUGAAAUUCAUAGAUAUUGGGAAGAACACCGGUGGCGAAGGCGGCUUUCUGGCUCGUAACUGACGCUGAGAUGCGAAAGCGUGGGGAGCAAACAGGAUUAGAUACCCGUGUAGUC
Molecule: ribosomal RNA, 465 nt
Filed under: uncultured bacterium
Lineage: Bacteria
Description: partial 16S ribosomal RNA
Rfam family: Bacterial small subunit ribosomal RNA
Source: RNAcentral